RNAcentral lists this ribosomal RNA (558 nucleotides) under uncultured archaeon. Its description in RNAcentral is "bacterial SSU rRNA". It matches the Rfam family "Archaeal small subunit ribosomal RNA", at positions 321 to 879 of the family's 1478-position model. The record is from RNAcentral.
CCCUACGGGGCGCAGCAGGCACGAAAAUUUUGCAAUGUGCGAAAGCGCGACAAAGGAACUCUGAGUGCUGUUCCACGCGAAUGGCUUUUCCUAAGUGUAAAUUACUUGGGGAAUAAGAAGAGGAUAAGACUAGUGCCAGCCGCCGCGGUAAUACUAGCUCUUCAAGUGGUAUCCACGAUUAUUGGGCUUAAAGCGCCCGUAGCCGGUCAGUUAAGUCUUCUGUGAAAUCUUCAGGCCUAACCUGAAGGCGUGCAGGAGAUACUAGCUAGACUCGGGAGCGGAGGAGGUCAGGGGUAUUUCUGGGGUAGGAGUAAAAUCCUUUGAUCCUAGGAGGACCACCAGUGGCGAAGGCGCCUGACCAAGACGCAUCCGACGGUGAGGGACGAAAGCUGGGAGAACAAACCGGAUUAGAUACCCGGGUAGCCCCAGCUGUAAAUGAUGCAGACCUGACAUUGCAAUGACUACGUGUUAUUGCUGUGCCAAAAGAAAACUAAUAAGUCUGCCGCCUGGGGAGUACGAUCGCAAGGUUGAAACUUAAAGGAAUUGGCGGGGGAGCAC